Molecule: long non-coding RNA, 2079 nt
Organism: Papaver somniferum (opium poppy)
Lineage: Eukaryota; Viridiplantae; Streptophyta; Magnoliopsida; Ranunculales; Papaveraceae
Exons: 3
Source: RefSeq, a predicted model, not a curated record
UGUCCUAGUUUUCUCUCUGGUCUUAUCGACACCAAACCGAGAAGAUAAAUCGUUAUUCUUCUUCCUUCUUCUCUCUUCUUUUCUUCCUUCUUCUCUCUUCUCUUUCCUUCUUCUCCUGUUCUUAUACUUCUGUGGGUUUGAGAGAAUCAAAUGGAAGUUCUGCGUUCGGCGGAAGGUGGAGAAGAUAUUUUAGUGGUUGGUGAUGAUGGUGAUGGUGUUUGUUCUUGAUUCAAAUUCGAAUAUGAGAUGAAUUAGAAGUUAGGGUUUCUCUGUAAAUCAAAGAAAUCGAUGAUGACGAUGAAGAAUUUGGUCGUGGUGGUGUUUCUAAUAUGAGUAGUAAAUAUGAAUCGAAAAGAUACAGUGAUAGAAGAAUUGAAAUUCAAUUGAGGAGUUAGGGUUUCUGCUGAUGAAGUUAAAAUUCAAUUUGGUGAUGAUUAGGAAGAAAUUGAAGAAUGGGUUUUGAAGAUUGUGAGAUGAAUAAGAAGUUAACGAUGUUAGUUUGAAGAUUUAGUACUGAGAAGGUAAGGUUUGAGAAAUUAGAGUUUCAUACUGAUUCUGAGGAGUGGAAAUAGAAGGUUUAUUGAGUUACAAAUAGAUGAAGAACAAAAGAACUAUUGUUUAAUUAAGGUUGUGGAGCUGUUUUGGUGGUGAAUUGAAGAAUUGGGGUUCGAUUCUAUUUUAGUGAAGAUUAUUGAGAAUUGGCAGUAAUGAUGAAGUUUGUUGAGUAAUGGUGAAGAUUCAAAGAAAAAGAUUAAUGAGUUUGUAUGAGGAAAUUGAUAUGAUUUCUAAGUCAGGACAGAGUAAAGAGAAAUCUAAUUCAAUUGCUUGAGUUGGAUUGGUUUGAGAUGUUGUUUGAAUGAAGAUUACACAUAGUGGUGGUGUUAUUGUUGCUGCUGUGUGACGGGUUGAAGAUGUAGUAUUAGUCUGUGAUAAGAGGAAUUGGAUUGCAGGUGAAGUCUGUGGUGUUAUGUUGAGUUGCAGUUGAUGAAUUAAAUGGAUGUGUGGUAUGUGAGCUUAUAUUUGUGAUUGAAUUAGUGAUCAUAGUGCUUGGAGGAGGCCUUAGAUAUGAUGAUAGAGUUCAACUUGGUGGUGUUGUUGGAUGCAGGGAGAAGGCUUGAGUUGGAUGUUUUGUCAUGAGAAUAUAUUGAUGCUGUGAGUGAUGAUAUGGGUUUAGUUACGGAGGUUUGUAUUAGAUUUUAGUGAAACUAAAAAAGAGAAUGGUGUUGCGUUGUAUGUCUGAGAAGAUAGAGGUAAUGUAAUAAAGAUUGAAGCUAUAGUUAUGAAUUGGGUUUGUGUCUGUAUUACCAAGGGAAUUGAUAUAGAUUGAGGUAAUACAGGGUUUGAGAUGUGAGAACUAGUAUUGGUUUGUAUUGCAAGAAGUGCAAGUGGGAAUGAAUAGAAAUGGUUUGUUGGAGGCUGCUGUGGUAAACAAGGUGGCUGGGGUUAUCUUAAUGAUAGUUGUUAUGUGUGUCUCAGAUUGGAGAAAAUGGUAUGUACUGGUGUUGUAGAUUGUUGUGGUGAUGUUGUUGUUGAAUCUGGUAAAGACAUGGCAGGUGGUAACAUUGAAGGGUAACCGAAGUUUAUAUGUGACACACGAGUGGAGUCUGGUAAUAUUGCUGCUGCUGUGGAAGCUGUUGGGAAUGCUGUGUUUGUAAUGGUUAGUUGUAGUUUUGGUGUUUCUGAAGUUCAGUUUGUGAAGAAUGAUGAUAAAGAAUUGUAGAUAAUAGUUGUUGUGAAAACUUGGAAAAGCUGCAUUUGCAGUUAGUUAUUAACAACGAUCGAUUCAAAGGACGAACCAGUGGAUCGUGGAUCUCGAGGUAGGCGUGGCCUGUCAUCAAAAGAGAGACAGAUCAGAGUUGCGUAGCGAAAGCUUCGAGGAGUUGAGUCCAUUAGUUGGUUAACUUCUGAUAUGUUUAUUAUGUUGUAUAUUCUAUUUGUAAACCGAAUGACUAUUGUAUAUGUAUCAUUUGUGAGAAGUUAUUGUAUAUAAAUAUUUCUGAGCGGGGCUAGUUUGGGUUAAGUUUUGUAGCAGAUUUCUUAAUUGAAUGUUUAAAUAAACGAUUUAGAUUCUUAGUGCCU